UUGUUUUCUAAAGCAUGUCUCCCAAAAGUGGGAACCGGUUUUGGGGCAAAGACAUGCGUAAAAACAAAAGCUUAAAGCGUGUUGCCUGAAUACGAUUGAAUGCAACACGCUUUAGUCGUUCCCGCAUUCGAGCCGUUUUGCGAU
This 144-nucleotide non-coding RNA is filed under the name Brucella daejeonensis. Its description in RNAcentral is "Ochrobactrum daejeonense sRNA CI27". It matches the Rfam family "Brucella sRNA CI27". The record is from RNAcentral. Lineage: Bacteria; Pseudomonadati; Pseudomonadota; Alphaproteobacteria; Hyphomicrobiales; Brucellaceae.